GACGAACCGAGCGAACGUUGUUCGGAAUCACUGGGCUUAAAGGGCGCGUAGGCGGGUGCUCAAGUCCGGGGUGAAAUCCCACAGCUCAACUGUGGAAUUGCCUCGGAUACUGGGUGUCUCGAGGGUGGUAGGGGUAUGCGGAACUAUCGGUGGAGCGGUGAAAUGCGUUGAUAUCGAUAGGAACUCCGGUGGCGAAGGCGGCAUACUGGACCACUUCUGACGCUGAGGCGCGAAAGCCAGGGGAGCAAACGGG
RNAcentral lists this ribosomal RNA (253 nucleotides) under uncultured bacterium. RNAcentral's name for it is "partial 16S ribosomal RNA". It matches the Rfam family "Bacterial small subunit ribosomal RNA", at positions 524 to 776 of the family's 1533-position model. The record is from RNAcentral.